RNAcentral lists this ribosomal RNA (378 nucleotides) under Thelotrema oleosum. RNAcentral's name for it is "SSU rRNA". It matches the Rfam family "Bacterial small subunit ribosomal RNA", at positions 362 to 736 of the family's 1533-position model. Lineage: Eukaryota; Fungi; Ascomycota; Lecanoromycetes; Ostropales; Graphidaceae. The record is from RNAcentral.
UAUUGGUCAAUGGCCUAACGGCUGAACCAGCAACUUGGAGGAAUGUAUAGGGAAAGCUGGUAAAAUGUGAUGUACCUAAUAGUAUUAGCGAUUAAUAUGAUAUUAACUAAGUUAAUUAAAAUUCUAUGUAAAUAUUGAUUAUGACAGUAUUUGCUUAUGUCUUGACCAAAUCACGUGCCAGCAGUCGCGGUAAGACGUGGGAGAUAAGUGUUAUUCAUGUUUAACAGGUCUAUAGGGUACCUAGACGGUUAAUUAAACAAUUAAAUGUAUUAAAUAACUAGAGUUUGAUAUAAGAAAGAUUGAGUACGGUGAGUGAAGAGAUAAAAUUCUAUUAAACCACUUUGGAACUGGUAAAGGCGAAGGCAACUUUCUAUCUAA